Molecule: non-coding RNA, 73 nt
Organism: Felis catus (domestic cat)
Lineage: Eukaryota; Metazoa; Chordata; Mammalia; Carnivora; Felidae
Source: the annotation of a RefSeq genome assembly
GCCUGGGUGGCUCAGUCGGUUGAGCAUCUGACUAUUGAUCUUAUGGUCGUGGGAUCGAGUCCCACGUUGGGCU